GGCUUGCAUUUACACACAAGCUCAAGCAACCUACCCGAACUCUCGGCGGGCCACCGAUUGAGUUCCUAUUUGGUCUUGCUACGAGUGGAGUUUACCUAGCUGCCAAAUGUUACCACUGGCACGGUGCGCUCUUACCGCACCCUUUCACCCUUACCAGCCAAAGCUGGCGGUCUGCUCUCUGUUGCACUAGUCGUAGGCUCGCGCCCCCCGGACGUUAUCCGGCACUCG
RNAcentral lists this unclassified non-coding RNA (228 nucleotides) under Pasteurellaceae bacterium I42. RNAcentral describes it as "partial RNaseP". The record is from RNAcentral. Lineage: Bacteria; Pseudomonadati; Pseudomonadota; Gammaproteobacteria; Pasteurellales; Pasteurellaceae.